AGUUAUUUCCGGACUGACAGGGUGCCCGGGCCGAGAGGGUCAUCCUCCCUCGCUGGCCGCUUCAGCUCCGGAAUUUCCAAGCUAAAGCAAUCGGGCGGCGGUGGCAGGGCGAUGACCCCGGGGGCUGCUCCCGGCCUCCACGCCUCCCGUUUCCCGGCCAGGCUAAGCUUGAAUCACGGUCUACACCGCGCUAAGCGGUUUAUUAAGUACUUUUAAAUACUGCCAACUUCCCCGGAGAGUGGAGACUGUUAUUGUGUCCAUUUCACAAAGCGGUAAACUGAGACUCCAGGCUGCGAGGGGGUCCGAACUCAAGUCCUCCCUCUCCAGCUUACGCAGGCCUCUUUAAUCGAGUGGAUGAGCCCCCUGCCUGGGUGGGGGCCCAGGAAUCCUCCCCGGGCUCCCUCCACUGAGGGAUGCCCCUCCCCCUAGGUCACGUCCACACCUAGCUGACACGGGCAUUUCUCGAGAAGCGGCCAGAGCAGAGCCAGGCACCUCCCGGCGACCGCUAACCGUGGGAGUGACGAAGCGCGGUCUCACCACGUCCGGGGAAAUCGGCGUCCUCUCUCUACACCCGAGGGCACUCACCCCGGCGGCCUCCUCGCUUCCCCUUUCGGC
Molecule: long non-coding RNA, 615 nt
Filed under: Homo sapiens (human)
Lineage: Eukaryota; Metazoa; Chordata; Mammalia; Primates; Hominidae
Description: non-protein coding lnc-ZGLP1-5:1
Source: RNAcentral